This 85-nucleotide non-coding RNA is filed under the name Aquitalea magnusonii. The record is from RNAcentral. Lineage: Bacteria; Pseudomonadati; Pseudomonadota; Betaproteobacteria; Neisseriales; Chromobacteriaceae.
UUCAACGGCGGGCCGGGUGGGGAGACCUUCGGGUCUACCGGGUCCAUGUGCCGGUUCGCCAGCCCUGCCUUGGCUUGCCACCCGU